ACGAACGCUGGCGGCGUGCUUAACACAUGCCAGUCGAACGGAAAGGCCCUGCUUUUGUGGGGUGCUCGAGUGGCGAACGGGUGAGUAACACGUGAGUAACCUGCCCUUGACUUUGGGAUAACUUCAGGAAACUGGGGCUAAUACCGGAUAGGAGCUCCUGCUGCAUGGUGGGGGUUGGAAAGUUUCGGCGGUUGGGGAUGGACUCGCGGCUUAUCAGCUUGUUGGUGGGGUAGUGGCUUACCAAGGCUUUGGCGGGUAGCCGGCCUGAGAGGGUGACCGGCCACAUUGGGACUGAGAUACGGCCCAGACUCCUACGGGAGGCAGCAGUGGGGAAUAUUGCACAAUGGGCGGAAGCCUGAUGCAGCAACGCCGCGUGCGGGAUGACGGCCUUCGGGUUGUAAACCGCUUUCGCCUGUGACGAAGCGUGAGUGACGGUAAUGGGUAAAGAAGCACCGGCUAACUACGUG
RNAcentral lists this ribosomal RNA (467 nucleotides) under uncultured bacterium. Its description in RNAcentral is "partial 16S ribosomal RNA". It matches the Rfam family "Bacterial small subunit ribosomal RNA", at positions 29 to 507 of the family's 1533-position model. The record is from RNAcentral.